RNAcentral lists this ribosomal RNA (407 nucleotides) under uncultured bacterium. RNAcentral's name for it is "partial 16S ribosomal RNA". It matches the Rfam family "Bacterial small subunit ribosomal RNA", at positions 30 to 526 of the family's 1533-position model. The record is from RNAcentral.
AUUGAACGCUGGCGGCAGGCCUAACACAUGCAAGUCGAGCGGAGUGGCGGACGGGUGCGUAAUUCCUAGGCAUCUGCCUGGUAGCGGGGGAUAACGUCCGGAAACGGUCGCUAAUACCGCAUCCUAGCAGAUGCGCCUAGGUCGGAGUAGCUAGGUGGUGGGGUAAAGGCCUACCAAGGCGACGAUCCGUAACUGGUCUGAGAGGAUGAUCAGGCACACUGGAACUGAGACACGGUCCAGACUCCUACGGGAGGCAGCAGUGGGGAAUAUUGGACAAUGGGCGAAAGCCUGAUCCAGCCAUGCCGCGUGUGUGAAGAAGGUCUUCGGAGUGUAAAGCACUUUAAGUUGGGAGGCGUUACCAACAGAAUAAGCACCGGCUAACUUCGUGCCAGCAGCCGCGGUAAUAC